This 370-nucleotide long non-coding RNA is filed under the name Elaeis guineensis (African oil palm). RNAcentral describes it as "long non-coding RNA (EGUI_LNC067753)". Lineage: Eukaryota; Viridiplantae; Streptophyta; Magnoliopsida; Arecales; Arecaceae. The record is from RNAcentral.
CUCCCUAAACUCUGAAUUUUUCUCCUCUUCCUCCUUGCUUCUUUUCAUUUGCUGCUUCUGGUUUAAUUGCUAACAAUUGCUAUCAGAGCUAAGUUUUCCUUGGCCCAUUGAAUCUGAAAACAUGACAGAUGCUACAUGAUCACAGACGUCAAUUUGAGAAAUGGAAGAGUCUCUGCGAUUCUAUGUGCAGGAGACUAAUACACAAACACAGCAGGAACUGACUCAACUAAGGAGAUCCAUGAACGAGAUGCAAGAGACCAUGAGUGGGCUCUCACUACAGAUCAUGACUAUAAUACAGAACCAUAGUGAUCAAGGAACCACAGCUUCCUCUUCGGCAACUCCAACUCCAGCUUCUGUAAUGGAGGACAAC